GAGUUUGAUCGUGGCUCAGAUUGAACGCUGGCGGCAUGCCUUACACAUGCAAGUCGAACGGCAGCACGGGAGCUUGCUCCUGGUGGCGAGUGGCGAACGGGUGAGUAAUGCAUCGGAACGUAUCCUGGAGUGGGGGAUAACGUAGCGAAAGUUACGCUAAUACCGCAUAUUCUGUGAGCAGGAAAGCGGGGGGACCUUCGGGCCUCGCGUCCUUGGAGCGGCCGAUGUCGGAUUAGCUAGUUGGUGAGGUAAAGGCUCACCAAGGCGACGAUCCGUAGCAGGUCUGAGAGGAUGAUCUGCCACACUGGAACUGAGACACGGUCCAGACUCCUACGGGAGGCAGCAGUGGGGAUUUUGGACAAUGGGGGCAACCCUGAUCCAGCCAUGCCGCGUGAGUGAAGAAGGCC
RNAcentral lists this ribosomal RNA (407 nucleotides) under bacterium enrichment culture clone ALO1_GLFRUDD03HHYS2. RNAcentral describes it as "bacterial SSU rRNA". It matches the Rfam family "Bacterial small subunit ribosomal RNA", at positions 9 to 416 of the family's 1533-position model. The record is from RNAcentral.